GGAAUCUUAGACAAUGGGCGCAAGCCUGAUCUAGCCAUGCCGCGUGAGCGAUGAAGGCCUUAGGGUUGUAAAGCUCUUUCACCGGGGAAGAUAAUGACGGUACCCGGGGAAGAAGCCCCGGCUAACUCCGUGCCAGCAGCCGCGGUAAUACGGGGGGGGCAAGCGUUGUUCGGAAUUACUGGGCGUAAAGGGUUCGUAGGUGGCCUGCUAAGUCAGACGUGAAAUCCCUCAGCUCAACUGGGGAACUGCGUCUGAUACUGGCGCGCUUGAGUGCAGGAGAGGAACGCGGAAUUCCAGGUGUAGCGGUGAAAUGCGUAGAUAUCUGGAGGAACACCGGUGGCGAAAGCGGCGUUCUGGACUGUUACUGACACUGAGGAACGAAAGCCAGGGGAGCAAAC
Molecule: ribosomal RNA, 398 nt
Filed under: uncultured bacterium
Lineage: Bacteria
Description: bacterial SSU rRNA
Rfam family: Bacterial small subunit ribosomal RNA
Source: RNAcentral